GUCAGUUUGGCCGAGUGGUCUAAGGCGAUAGACUAGAAAUCUAUUGGGGUCUCCCCGCACAGGUUCAAAUACUGUAGCUGACG
This is a non-coding RNA of Coemansia sp. RSA 2708, 83 nucleotides long. Lineage: Eukaryota; Fungi; Kickxellomycota; Kickxellomycetes; Kickxellales; Kickxellaceae. The record is from the annotation of a GenBank genome assembly.